CAGGGCAGAAGGUGGAGGGUCUCUGUCCAAGCACCAGCAGCUUGGCCCGCUCCCCAUUGGACAGCAGCAGUGCCUGGGACUGAGGCAGCAGCAAGCCUGAGGUGUGCCACUGUUUUGUUCCAGGGACCAGGGACUCAGAGGACGAGGAGGAGGAAUGGGAUUGGCCAUGGAGGAGGUGGCCGUGGACACGGCCAUGAGGAGGCUGCUCUCAGGAACAUGCGAGUGCAGCUCCAAGGUCAAGAAAAAGACGAGGCCCAGCAACUCAUGUUCCUGCAUGCCGUCCACCCCGCGUGACUCGCUACACAGCAGAGAGGGCAGGACACAUUGGAGCCGCACUGCUGCAGGGCAGCUAUUUUGGAGAAGAUUGUGGUGAGCGAGACACAGCGCCCAGCAGCUGGAGUGAGAACAGAGAUAUGGGAGGGGCAGGGGUC
Long non-coding RNA from Dermochelys coriacea (leatherback sea turtle), 431 nucleotides. RefSeq lists it as uncharacterized. The record is from RefSeq and is a predicted model, not a curated record. The transcript is spliced from 3 exons. NCBI's taxonomy places the organism in Eukaryota, Metazoa, Chordata, Testudines, Dermochelyidae.